Molecule: ribosomal RNA, 433 nt
Filed under: uncultured bacterium
Lineage: Bacteria
Description: partial 16S ribosomal RNA
Rfam family: Bacterial small subunit ribosomal RNA
Source: RNAcentral
AACGAACGCUGGCGGCAUGCCUAACACAUGCAAGUCGAACGAGACCUUCGGGUCUAGUUGCGCACGGGUGCGUAACGCGUGGGAACCUGCCUUUAGGUUCGGAAUAACUCAGAGAAAUUUGAGCUAAUACCGGAUGAUGUCUUCGGACCAAAGAUUUAUCGCCUUUAGAUGGGCCCGCGUUGGAUUAGCUAGUUGGUGGGGUAAAGGCCUACCAAGGCGACGAUCCAUAGCUGGUCUGAGAGGAUGACCAGCCACACUGGGACUGAGACACGGCCCAGACUCCUACGGGAGGCAGCAGUAGGGAAUAUUGGGCAAGGGGGGAAAGCCUGGUCCAGCAAUGCCGGGGAAGUGAUGAAGGCCUUAGGAUUGUAAAGCUCUUUUACCCGAGAUGAUAAUGACAGUAGCGGGAGAAUAAGCACCGGCUAACUCCGUG